This is a long non-coding RNA of Cyprinus carpio (common carp), 269 nucleotides long. RefSeq lists it as uncharacterized. NCBI's taxonomy places the organism in Eukaryota, Metazoa, Chordata, Actinopteri, Cypriniformes, Cyprinidae. The record is from RefSeq and is a predicted model, not a curated record. The transcript is spliced from 3 exons.
CUUCACUCCACAACCAGCGCAUUUCUUCAGGAUGUUCAUUCCACUGAAGGGCACGUGAAGCUCGUGUCCUUGACCAAACGACAGUGAAUAUGGGAAAGAAGAGUGGCAAACAAUAUACCAGCAGAUGAAUCAGAAUCAACCCUCGUUCCCGAACCUAAGCAGCAAUCCAUAGCAUCAAGCUUUGAAAGCUAAACACCAUAUCCUGCAAGCUCCCGCCACCAUAAAGAGACAACAGAGGCCAUAACACAAUAUCUGGCAAAGGAUAUGGU